RNAcentral lists this ribosomal RNA (447 nucleotides) under uncultured bacterium. Its description in RNAcentral is "partial 16S ribosomal RNA". It matches the Rfam family "Bacterial small subunit ribosomal RNA", at positions 330 to 793 of the family's 1533-position model. The record is from RNAcentral.
UCCAGACUCCUACGGGAGGCAGCAGUGGGGGAUAUUGCACAAUGGGGGGAACCCUGAUGCAGCGACGCCGCGUGGGUGAAGGAGCGUUUCGGCGCGUAAAGCCCUAUCGGCAGGGAAGAAGGAGGACGGUACCUGACUAAGAAGCCCCGGCUAACUACGUGCCAGCAGCCGCGGUAAUACGUAGGGGGCAAGCGUUAUCCGGAUUUAAUGGGUGUAAAGGGGGCGCAGACGGCAGCGCAAGCCAGGAGUGAAAGCCCGGGGCCCAACCCCGGGACUGCUCUUGGAACUGCGCGGCUGGAGUGCAGGAGGGGCAGGCGGAAUUCCUGGUGUAGCGGUGAAAUGCGUAGAUAUCAGGAGGAACACCGGUGGCGAAGGCGGCCUGCUGGACUGCGACUGACGUUGAGGCCCGAAAGCGUGGGGAGCAAACAGGAUUAGAUACCCGAGUAA